UCACAACUAGCUCCUUUUUUUUUUUCUCCAGCUGUUGCAAUCCACCAAUAACAUGCCAUCAAACUCCAAACCUCCACAAAUCAAAAUGCAGUCUACAAAAAAGGCACCGCUCCGAAAAGAGGACGGCACCGUGGCAGCCGGCGACGACGCGGCGACGAUAGCACAGCCAGCGGGCCCCAACACGACACAGCCGCCAAAGUCCGGGGGUGGUGGACGGAGACGGGGCGGCCAGAGGCACAAAGGAAAAGGCCAGAACAGCAGCACCAACUCGACAGCGGCGCCGUCCUCGUCGGGGAUAGGAAACUGCUGAAUCGCCCUCUCGUCCCGCCUCCCCGCCCCGCCCAGUGCAGACCUCCCUUCUCGAUCACUCCACCAAGUGUCUUCAUUCCACAAACCAUUAAGGAUACACGUGUUCGGAGCGAGACACACUCCUCAGUCUUACUACUCCUUGCCUUUUUACACCAGGUCAUAUAGUUUUUAUUUUUUAAAAAAAGGGAACACAACAGGGGGGUAUGCGUCACACCAAAAGCAUACACCUUUUUAUGCAUUUUAUCGUCAGCUGCCUUUACUACUCCCGAGUGGUUCUGGGUGACAGAAAGCAGUGUGGGCUUUUGAGGUUAGCCUCACUCAGGAUGUUGAUUUUAUUUAAUUUUUGUCUGUGGCAUCGGCUCUCCGGCUCAGGGGAGGGAAGGCAAGACAAAAAGGGGUCCAAUACCAAUACGAGCAGCUAUCAAGUGAAACUCCCCCCCACGCAUUCCCUGUGUAUUUGCAAUGAUAAGACAGUUGUACUAUUUAUACCGCAUAUGUAAAUUAGCUGUUAGUCGUACCGAUUGGAAAGAUGCCGUUGUACAAAAAAAAUGUAUGCAAAUCACAAAUGAAUGUAGCAGAGGGCACAUUUAAAAUUCUAGAUAUAUGGAAAAUGUAUAAAAAGAAAAAAAAAAGGUGUUGCAUUUUAUAAUUGUCAGUUAUUUAUUUGGCAUACAUGCAUAACAUUUACUCCUGGAUGGUGGGAAUCUCUCCACCUACUCUCUCACUCGCGCUCUUAGAUUCAGCAGUAUCCGUCACGCUUCCAUCGUCAGUCCAUGUACAAACCGUAUAGUACAAACACAGCACACACACACACACACACACACACGUCGUCACUCCAGCAGCUGCUAAUGAUUAUAAGACAUGCCGUACUACUUGUAACUCUAGUACUUCAUGCGUUAUGGCCUGUCGCUGUUACCAUGUUGUGACAUUUUAAAACACUUUGCCACAAAAUAAUAAUAAUAAUAAAAAAAAAAAACAACCCCAGACCAUGAAUAAACACACUUUACUGAACUUUU
Stegastes partitus (bicolor damselfish) is the source of this 1325-nucleotide long non-coding RNA. RefSeq lists it as uncharacterized. The transcript has 2 exons. Lineage: Eukaryota; Metazoa; Chordata; Actinopteri; Pomacentridae. The record is from RefSeq and is a predicted model, not a curated record.